AAUUGUAUUUCUUUUGUCUAUGAUUGAGUCAUGUAUUGGAAUGCGAAUUACCUUAGACUGAAGUUUGUUUAAAUUGAUAGUUUUAUACCUAAAUUUAGUUUUUUAAUUUUUGAACUUGAUUUCUUCUGAUUUGAUGUUACAACCCCAUCUUUGUUUCUUUUUCUGUUACACGUGCACGAAAUUUAGUAACUCAGUCUCUAGGGUUCAACCUGGAUUACCACUUAUUGUAUUUAUUCAGAAAAUAUUUCAUUAUUGAUAAUUUCAGUUAAUUUUUGGUGGAAUCGGCAAUAUACCAAUUUAUAGUAUCAUAAUCCAAUUAUAAUAAUAGAA
Molecule: unclassified non-coding RNA, 330 nt
Filed under: Hevea brasiliensis (rubber tree)
Lineage: Eukaryota; Viridiplantae; Streptophyta; Magnoliopsida; Malpighiales; Euphorbiaceae
Source: RNAcentral